AACUCGAGUGCAUGAAGCUGGAAUCGCUAGUAAUCGCGGAUCAGAAUGCCGCGGUGAAUACGUUCCCGGGUCUUGUACACACCGCCCGUCACACCAUGGGAGUCGGGAAUGCCCGAAGCCGGUGGCCCGAUCGAAAGAAGGGAGCCGUCGAAGGCAGGCCGGAUGACUGGGGUGAAGUCGUAACAAGGUAAC
RNAcentral lists this ribosomal RNA (192 nucleotides) under uncultured bacterium. Its description in RNAcentral is "partial 16S ribosomal RNA". It matches the Rfam family "Bacterial small subunit ribosomal RNA", at positions 1309 to 1500 of the family's 1533-position model. The record is from RNAcentral.